Molecule: long non-coding RNA, 542 nt
Organism: Melanotaenia boesemani (Boeseman's rainbowfish)
Lineage: Eukaryota; Metazoa; Chordata; Actinopteri; Atheriniformes; Melanotaeniidae
Exons: 4
Source: RefSeq, a predicted model, not a curated record
GCCACAUUUUUGAAGGAACUGCCACAGUGGAUCUGCAUGAAGCCAUUCAGGACAAGCAGAGAGCACAAAUCUGCACGUUGCCUUCAAUGAAUGGCAGCGAUGAAUGGAUCUGCCCGUAUGUCAUUCUUCAUGCUUCAUUCUUUUUACUUCUGCUUCUACAGCGGCUGAGCUUGAGGUCCCUUCGUGGUUUGGAGGAAAGGGAGCGUCACUCCGGUCCACCGUGGCAUUCCUGGCAGAUCAUACCGAUGCAGUGUGCAACACACUGGUUCCCUUGUAAGACACCAAAGCUCUCGUUGAUGCAAGUCUGGAGGUCACGAUGAGGAGUAAAAGGCUUCACCAGAGCACCAAGAAAAGCAAGAGAAAAAUCACUCACCUGUGUUUUGGCACAGGUGCACCAGCGGGAAUCCUGUGUGACACUAAGCUGCUGCAGCAGCAUGGUGUCUUUUUGACAUCUGGACCACGGGCCCACUGGAGCUGCUCGGUCCUGUCAGGACUCCUUGAAUAGAGAAGAUGUGGCCAGAGGAGUCAUUUGGUCUCACCAG